This 253-nucleotide ribosomal RNA is filed under the name uncultured bacterium. Its description in RNAcentral is "partial 16S ribosomal RNA". It matches the Rfam family "Bacterial small subunit ribosomal RNA", at positions 524 to 776 of the family's 1533-position model. The record is from RNAcentral.
UACGGGGGGGGCAAGCGUUGUUCGGAAUUACUGGGCGUAAAGGGCUCGUAGGCGGCCAACUAAGUCGGACGUGAAAUCCCCAGGCUCAACCUGGGAACUGCGUCCGAUACUGGAUGGCUUGAAUCCGGGAGAGGGAUGCAGAAUUCCAGGUGUAGCGGUGAAAUGCGUAGAUAUCUGGAGGGAUACCGGUGGCGAAGGCGGCAUCCUGGACCGGCAUUGACGCUGAGGAGCGAAAGCCAGGGGAGCAAACGGG